RNAcentral lists this ribosomal RNA (431 nucleotides) under uncultured bacterium. Its description in RNAcentral is "partial 16S ribosomal RNA". It matches the Rfam family "Bacterial small subunit ribosomal RNA", at positions 29 to 507 of the family's 1533-position model. The record is from RNAcentral.
AACGAACGCUGGCGGCAGGCUUAACACAUGCAAGUCGAGCGCCCCGCAAGGGGAGCGGCAGACGGGUGAGUAACGCGUGGGAACGUACCUUUUGGUUCGGAACAACUCCGGGAAACUGGAGCUAAUACCGGAUAAGCCCUAACGGGGAAAGAUUUAUCGCCGAAAGAUCGGCCCGCGCCUGAUUAGCUAGUUGGUGAGGUAACGGCUCACCAAGGCGACGAUCAGUAGCUGGUCUGAGAGGAUGAUCAGCCACACUGGGACUGAGACACGGCCCAGACUCCUACGGGAGGCAGCAGUGGGGAAUAUUGGACAAUGGGCGCAAGCCUGAUCCAGCCAUGCCGCGUGAGUGAUGAAGGCCUUAGGGUUGUAAAGCUCUUUUGUCCGGGAAGAUAAUGACUGUACCGGAAGAAUAAGCCCCGGCUAACUUCGUG